AUGCGCUCUGCAGCUCCUACUCCGAUGGGGCUAAAGAGCCCCUGGCUGAGCGCACACCAGAGGGGGGCGCCGCAGGGGUUCGCGGGGGAACGCGGCCAAGGCAAGGGAGCAUGUGCCGCGGAGGCUGUGGCAGGCUGCAAACUGGAGGACCCCUGCGAACACCUCCCCCACUGUCAGCAGCUGCAACCUCCGCACCGCCGGCGGUCCCUGACCGUCGGAACCCGGGCGAGCCUGGCUCCAGUCACCCAAAGGUCGCCCCAGCUCGUCAGUCAGCGCCCUCGGGCUGGAACAAAGGCGAGGGGGCGCGCGGCAUCGCCCCAGCGGCCCUUUCGGGCAUCUGCCCAAGGCCAAGAGAGCGAGGACCAGGGUCCCCCAGAUCCUCUGCUACAGUCUCGGGACCUCAUUUGCCUCUCCCAGAAAAUCUUGAGGAAGAGGAGCAGUUCAGGGAGGGUAAGCAAGCAGCCCUCAGACACCCAGCAGGGAAGUCUACACCAUCGAUCCUGGCCAAGCUUCCGGCUGGUUCUGCAUCCUUCUCACAAGUGACCUUGGGCAGUGUCCUUCACUGCCCUCAGCCUCAGUGUCCCCCUCCAUAGCGACAAGCUAUGAACUGUGCUGGGCAGUCAGCUUGUCCCUCAGCCCCUCUCUCCCACCCACUCCCACCCACUCCCAGCCCUUCAAGCCUGCCCUCCAUGAAGGUAUUGCUUAGGUCCUUGCAC
Molecule: long non-coding RNA, 716 nt
Filed under: Fukomys damarensis (Damara mole-rat)
Lineage: Eukaryota; Metazoa; Chordata; Mammalia; Rodentia; Bathyergidae
Description: lncRNA (ENSFDAG00000032711.1)
Source: RNAcentral